This is a long non-coding RNA of Astatotilapia calliptera (eastern happy), 854 nucleotides long. The record is from Ensembl. NCBI's taxonomy places the organism in Eukaryota, Metazoa, Chordata, Actinopteri, Cichliformes, Cichlidae.
AGCUAAUCAAGUUUGCAGAUGACACCACCGUUAUUGGACUCAUCUCGGACGGGGAUGAGUCUGCCUACAGGAGGGAGGUUGAACGUCUGGUGUCCUGGUGCAGCCACAACAACCUGGUGCUGAAUGCCCAGAAGACAGUGGAGAUUAUUGUGGACUUCAGGAAGCACACAGCCCCACUCCCCCCCAUCAUCCUGACUGACACCCCAUCACCUCUGUGGACUUAUUCCGCUUCCUGGGUACCACCAUCACCCAGGACCUGAAGUGGGAGCCCACCAUCACCUCCGUCAUUAAGAAAGCCCAGCAGAGGAUGUACUUCCUGAGGCUAAUUGAGACACUGACCGUAAAAACAAAGAACACCAUCACCACCAUCAUGGUGACCACACCCACAAGUCUGACACAACUGUACGUCAUCAAUGCUCCAGCAUGUCUUUAUCCUGUCUUCCUUCUCUCACCCCAACCGGUCGCAGCAGAUGGCCCCGCCCCUCCCUGAGCCUGGUUCUGCCGGAGGUUUCUUCCUGUUAAAAGGGAGUUUUUCCUUCCCACUGUCGCCAAAGUGCUGCUCAUAGGGGGUCAUAUGAUUGUUGGGUUUUUCUCUGUAUCUAUGAAGCGCCUUGAGGCGACUUUUGUUGUGAUUUGGCGCUAUAUAAAUAAUAUUGAAUUGAAUUGAAUUGUAAGAAUAUAAGCAAAAACCUGUACAGAGGAUUAUGUGUGUCCUGUUGGCACCUUCUAAACAUCACAGAGUAGCAUCAUCCUUACCACCAGCUGGGGGCAUUAGAUCGUAGAACUCUAAAAUCUCUUUCUUUCUUUCAAACAUUAAAAAUGACAAACCAACAGGAGGAUAAAUAAAACAUUUU